Molecule: ribosomal RNA, 537 nt
Filed under: uncultured bacterium
Lineage: Bacteria
Description: bacterial SSU rRNA
Rfam family: Bacterial small subunit ribosomal RNA
Source: RNAcentral
ACGGGUGAGUAACGCGUGGGAACGUGCCUUUCGGUUCGGAAUAACUCAGGGAAACUUGAGCUAAUACCGGAUACGCCCUUCGGGGGAAAGAUUUAUUGCCGAAAGAUCGGCCCGCGUCCGAUUAGCUAGUUGGUGUGGUAAUGGCGCACCAAGGCGACGAUCGGUAGCUGGUCUGAGAGGAUGAUCAGCCACACUGGGACUGAGACACGGCCCAGACUCCUACGGGAGGCAGCAGUGGGGAAUAUUGGACAAUGGGCGCAAGCCUGAUCCAGCCAUGCCGCGUGAGUGAUGAAGGCCCUAGGGUUGUAAAGCUCUUUCGCCAGGGACGAUAAUGACGGUACCUGGAUAAGAAGCCCCGGCUAACUUCGUGCCAGCAGCCGCGGUAAUACGAAGGGGGCUAGCGUUGUUCGGAAUCACUGGGCGUAAAGCGCACGUAGGCGGAUCUUUAAGUCAGGGGUGAAAUCCCGAGGCUCAACCUCGGAACUGCCUUUGAUACUGGAGGUCUCGAGUUCGGGAGAGGUGAGUGGAACUGCGAGU